UCGGGUCCGCACCUCGAAAUGUGGGGUCUGCAUCGUGGAACUGGGGUUCCCUCCGUGGGGCUGUUCAUAGCGUGUCCUGUAAGCACAGGAGCUGCCCGCUGUCCCCGUUUGAUGGCAGGUCUCUCCUGGCUGUAACACCGAGUGACUGUCGUCCCCCCCUUCACACAGGGAAUAUUUCAGCGUUAUGAUGUUGCCCUUUGCCCCUAACUCGCUUCUCUUUGAAAGACACGGAUAAACAGUGGCUGAAAAGCUGCGUUUUAGGUGAUGCAACCCUCUCCUCGUUUCCACACGAGGUUCUUUGAGGAAAGAGAAGAGCGUGUCUCUCUGCAGGAGAGACUUUGGGAAGUUUGAAUGGAUUCACGACGCGCUGGGUGACGCGGGUACAGGCAGUCUGCUCGGCGGGAGCGCCGUGUUCUCCAGCAUCCCUGCAAUUUGCGCCCACACAUGAGCUGUUCAAACCCUUGGCGUUACCCUGAGAACUGGGAAGGCUGAAAAAACCCCACCUAAACCCGUAACAUCCCCCCCUUUUGUGUUUAGCGGUGCCCCUCUGUUGGUGUCCGGGGUUCCUAACCUGAGUGAGUGAGUGAACACGGGGCUUUGGAGGCACAAGUUGUGCUGCAGGGGUGGUGGGGUCAGCACAGGAUGGUGCUGAGCACCUGUGGUUUAAGAGUGGGGGGCAGUUGGAUAAGUUUGACUCUUCUGUCAGAAACGCCAGCAUUUGUCACGAGCAUUGUACUCCAGGGCGACAUGUAUUGUCAUCUUGUUGGGUUGGAAAUUAGCGAAAUCUUCUUCUGUUUUGACAGACGGGCUCCUCCUCGCCUCUGAAGUUGACUCAUGUGUUUAAAGCACAGAUCCCAGCACUUCCCUUUUGCAGCCCUGAAAGGGGAAGGAUGGCACAGCAGACCGAGCGCCGGCAGUUCCUCUGCCCAGGGGCCCGGCACUGGUGCUGUCACCCUGCCUGUGCCAGAGCAGAGAUUGGGUCAGAAUUUGCUGCCACAAGUUCCUUGGCCUUGUUGAGAGGCGUCCUGGAGGGCAGGACUCCUUGCUGUGAUGUAGGAGGGUGACACGGAGCAUCUGCGCAGCUCUCCGGGGGUGAGGCAUAUUUGACACCGAAUCUCUUUCAGGAAAAGGGAUUGUCUUCCCUGUCCCCUGCCCCGGCCUCUUCUCACGUCCCUGACGGGGAGGGACAAGUUCAGCUGAGUGGUUGGACGUGUCCCUGGCUUCUCAAAGAGCAGCACAGCUGCUACUGCAGGAUGAUGUCUCUGCAAGAGACCUGUGGAGAGGUAUUCGGGUCCAAAUUACUCAUGGGCUGCAUCAGAGUGGAAAGAUGACCUAAAGCAGGAUCCACAGAAGUGAUUGCAUCGAGUUGUCGUGUUUCAGAUGAUGCUUAAAAGAAUCCUGAUGGCCCAUUGCCAGGAGCCACAGCUGAAAUCUGUCUGCUGCCUGCUUUGGUUGUGCAGUGAACCUUUCCAUUUGGAACGUCAACUCUUUACGUUUAAUAUUUCAAAGUCUUGUAUAACACUGGAAUCCUCCACUGGAGGAUGAGACACAAUUUUGUCUCUCCCUGAUGUUAGUGGUGUCUUCUGGUUGUGUUGUGCUUCCUCUUGGGUCACAAGCAACUGUUAUAUUGUUAAACCUCCUUCUCCCAAACUGAGAGAUGCACUUAGGUAAGGGUUUUGCUGAGAGUCACUUUGCUUAAGAGGACUUUUCAGUGCUUCAGGAAAGCUGAAGAGAGCUUGGAGACAGUGUUCUAGCAGCAGUGAAAACGUUAAGGCCAAUUUUCUUCUCCUUCCAGUGCAAUAGUCCGUGGCAGAGAUGCAUCAUUAAAUAAAAUGAUGCUGUGUGUGAGUUAAUGGAUGGCACUUCUGCUUUCUGUGCAGUCCCCAGGUGAAAACGAGAGAUUCCUUUAUUUUUCUUAUAGAUUAUUGCUAAUUUUUCAGUUUCCCGCCCCCUCAAUUUUAUUUUAUUUUAUGGUACCAAGCAAUUCCUGAAGUGUGGCAUCCCUGAAUUAUCUGCUGUGAAGCAGCCACGGAUGGUCCCAGUCACCCAUGACCUGACCCUGGGUGAUGCACGAUGAUCUGCUGCAGGGUGGGAACAUAAAGCCCGUGGAGAAGUGAUGAAUGGAACUGAAACGUGAGCCCCGUUUCUGGAGCAUCCUCGGCGCUUUGGGGCACGUUUGCGAAACACUCUCAGUCUCACUCUCAGCCUCAUCAGAUAACCUGUGAGUGAUGGCUCCUCUGAUGGAGAAGGAGGAAGGAGGUUGGUGCUUUCGUGGUUUAUCAUUCUGGUAAGAUGCCUGUGGUGGAAUUAGGGCAGGUCUCGGAGCUGAUAACUGAGCAGUUCUGUGGCCGAGCGAGCUCAUGGAGCUGGUGGCCUCGUGCUCUCUCUCCCACCAUGGGGAGAGGUUUCUUACAGAGGUGUUGAGGGGAGCAAAGAGCCCUAUUCCCUGCAGCUCUGAUUGAGAUCAAAUGCUUUGUCCCCCAGAAAAUCCAGCUGGGAAAAUAUCCCUGAAGUGAGGGAGUAGAUGAAGAUCCUGAGCUUAUAUUCAUGGAAAACAGCUCACCGUGUGUUUGCUGUACUUCUGUCCCUCUCUCAGUGGGAAGAUUUUUUUUUUUUAAUUAACUCUACCAUGUAUUUAAUAUAAUCAAAAAUGUCUUCACUGUGGCCUUCUGUGCAAGCUGUGGUUGAAAAGCUGUGGAAAGUGUGGUGACAUCACUGGGACUUUUCCAAAGCAGCGGUUUAUUAUCUCAUUGACCAAAGGAGUCUACUGACUCGGGGUUUGAGUUUGUUUAAAAAAUGUAGGAUUUGCCAUAAUCCCUUCUAAAUACUUUACAUGUUCUGAGCAGUCAGACCUGAGACUGCCAUGGGCUGAUAACAGCCUGGGAGCAGGGGCUUGCUUUUCACUUUGGUACGUGCUCAGGAAGUGGCGGGGCUCUUCCUCUUAAUAAUAAUCUAAUGCCAUCAGCCACAGGUCCUGCAAAAGAAGUUUCCCAUGUUUUCAGAGGCGGGGAACUGAGAUGCAGUGAUUUACUGAAGGUCUUGCAGCCCGUCAGAGGCGACACCGGGCUGAGGAGCUGAGCUGCUGGUGUCCUGCUGGACACAGAUACAGCCCCUGCGUGUAUGUGAUUUAGUAGCCAAGUACAGCCAGGUAAAAGGAUGAUUUUUGUCAUUCACAUUGAACUCCCAUUUGUGCUGUCAGGAAAGCCAGGUGUAUAGGACAGCACUGGCCUGUGGGGCUGUGGAGGUGAUGGCUCUGCCUCAGGUAGCGACCGGCACAAAGCAGGCACUGGGAGUUAUCAGACACGUGCUCCAGAGCAUUCAAAACAGUGGAUAAAGAAUAAUUUGAAGCUGUGCAGACUGGGAGCCAGGUCUCCUAGCAUGCUUGGUGGACAAUGGGUAGGCACAGGUGAUGAAAACUCCCAGAAAUUUCCUGCCGAGGAAGCCUGAAAGAGCGGGUUGAUGACCUCUGUCUUCCCAGAAACAUCCAGGAUGUGCUCUGGUAUCUGAUGAGAUGGAUGAACUCUUGAUGGCUGGAAGGGUGGUGCAGGUAUGUGGGAGGCAUCCAGAGGAGUGGCUGGGUUGGAAGUGGCUGUUUGGCCAUCCCUGUGGCACGGACAGCAGUGUGACUUUGAGUUUACAAUCUGGCAUCUCCUGAGCCUUCCUGGUGGGCUCGCGUGCCCCAUACCAGGGUGGUCUAAGGGCUUUACAGCAGAGACAGCAGCUAAUGCUGUUUUCCAACCCAUCCUUUUGCUGUGGUUUUCACUGUCUGCUGAGAAGCUGAGAGGAAAGAGCCCUCCUUCAUUAAGAAACCCUUUCCUCCUCCUAGCUCCGACCAUAACCGGCUCCCCGACCUGCAGGCGGCCCUCGCUGCAGAAGUCAGGCUCCUCUCCAAGCACAACUGGCCCCGCGCGUCUGGCCUCAAGUUGCAGCAUUCAGGCAGCAUGACCUCACCUCCUGGUUUCCAAGAAUAACGUGCUGCCUCCCCUGUGCCGCGCCGGGACUGUCUGCAGUGGCUGCCCUGGCACGAGGACUGUGUGCAUGACUGGUGCCUGGAGGCUCAUUUUGG
Molecule: long non-coding RNA, 4066 nt
Organism: Lepidothrix coronata (blue-crowned manakin)
Lineage: Eukaryota; Metazoa; Chordata; Aves; Passeriformes; Pipridae
Exons: 4
Source: RefSeq, a predicted model, not a curated record